GGCAGCGAGGUGUGGGGUCCACUUUAUGGCAGUGAGGUGUGGGGUCCACUUUAUGGCAGUGAGGUGUGGGGUCCACUUUAUGGCAGUGAGGUGUGGGGUCCACUUUAUGGCAGUGAGGUGUGGGGUCCACUUUAUGGCAGUGAGGUGUGGGGUCCACUUUAUGGCAGUGAGGUGUGUGGUCCACUUUAUGGCAGUGAGGUGUGGGGUCCACUUUAUGGCAGCGAGGUGUGGGGUCCACUUUAUGGCAGUGAGGUGUGGGGUCCACUUUAUGGCAGUGAGGUGUGGGGUCCACUUUAUGGCAGUGAGGUGUGGGGUCCACUUUAUGGCAGCGAGGUGUGGGGUCCACUUUAUGG
This is a long non-coding RNA of Oncorhynchus keta (chum salmon), 353 nucleotides long. RefSeq lists it as uncharacterized. The record is from RefSeq and is a predicted model, not a curated record. The transcript has 3 exons. Lineage: Eukaryota; Metazoa; Chordata; Actinopteri; Salmoniformes; Salmonidae.